GGUUGGGUGGCCGAGAGUUUAGGCGGUGGAUUGUAGUCCCACAAACGGAGGUUCGAGUCCUCCCCCAGUCA
This 71-nucleotide transfer RNA is filed under the name Scopelosaurus hoedti. Its description in RNAcentral is "tRNA-Tyr". It matches the Rfam family "tRNA". Rfam says of the family: Transfer RNA (tRNA) molecules are approximately 80 nucleotides in length. Their secondary structure includes four short double-helical elements and three loops (D, anti-codon, and T loops). Lineage: Eukaryota; Metazoa; Chordata; Actinopteri; Aulopiformes; Notosudidae. The record is from RNAcentral.